Molecule: ribosomal RNA, 491 nt
Filed under: uncultured bacterium
Lineage: Bacteria
Description: partial 16S ribosomal RNA
Rfam family: Bacterial small subunit ribosomal RNA
Source: RNAcentral
AGUGAACGCUGGCGGUAGGCCUAACACAUGCAAGUCGAACGGCAGCACAGUAAGAGCUUGCUCUUACGGGUGGCGAGUGGCGGACGGGUGAGGAAUACAUCGGAAUCUACUUUUUCGUGGGGGAUAACGUAGGGAAACUUACGCUAAUACCGCAUACGACCUACGGGUGAAAGCAGGGGAUCUUCGGACCUUGCGCGAUUGAAUGAGCCGAUGUCGGAUUAGCUAGUUGGCGGGGUAAAGGCCCACCAAGGCGACGAUCCGUAGCUGGUCUGAGAGGAUGAUCAGCCACACUGGAACUGAGACACGGUCCAGACUCCUACGGGAGGCAGCAGUGGGGAAUAUUGGACAAUGGGCGCAAGCCUGAUCCAGCCAUACCGCGUGGGUGAAGAAGGCCUUCGGGUUGUAAAGCCCUUUUGUUGGGAAAGAAAAGCAGCAGGUUAAUACCCCGCUGUUCUGACGGGACCCAAAGAAUAAACACCGGCUAACUUCGU